Molecule: ribosomal RNA, 242 nt
Filed under: uncultured bacterium
Lineage: Bacteria
Description: partial 16S ribosomal RNA
Rfam family: Bacterial small subunit ribosomal RNA
Source: RNAcentral
AGUGGCGAACGGGUGAGUAAUACGUGAGUAACCUGCCUUUGACUCUGGGAUAAGCCUGGGAAACUGGGUCUAAUACCGGAUAUGACAAGGAACCGCAUGGUUUUUUGUGGAAAGGGUUUGUACUGGUUUUAGAUGGGCUCACGGCCUAUCAGCUUGUUGGUGGGGUAAUGGCUCACCAAGGCGACGACGGGUAGCCGGCCUGAGAGGGUGACCGGCCACACUGGGACUGAGACACGGCCCAG